This 492-nucleotide ribosomal RNA is filed under the name uncultured bacterium. RNAcentral describes it as "partial 16S ribosomal RNA". It matches the Rfam family "Bacterial small subunit ribosomal RNA", at positions 29 to 507 of the family's 1533-position model. The record is from RNAcentral.
AGUGAACGCUGGCGGUAGGCCUAACACAUGCAAGUCGAACGGCAGCGCAGUAAGAGCUUGCUCUUACGGGUGGCGAGUGGCGGACGGGUGAGGAAUACAUCGGAAUCUACUUUUUCGUGGGGGAUAACGCAGGGAAACUUACGCUAAUACCGCAUACGACCUACGGGUGAAAGCAGGGGAUCUUCGGACCUUGCGCGAUUGAAUGAGCCGAUGUCGGAUUAGCUAGUUGGCGGGGUAAAGGCCCACCAAGGCGACGAUCCGUAGCUGGUCUGAGAGGAUGAUCAGCCACACUGGAACUGAGACACGGUCCAGACUCCUACGGGAGGCAGCAGUGGGGAAUAUUGGACAAUGGGCGCAAGCCUGAUCCAGCCAUACCGCGUGGGUGAAGAAGGCCUUCGGGUUGUAAAGCCCUUUUGUUGGGAAAGAAAAGCAGCAGGUUAAUACCCCGCUGUUCUGACGGUACCCAAAGAAUAAGCACCGGCUAACUUCGUG